CGUAGGACCCAAGCGUUAUCCGGAAUCACUGGGCGUAAAGCGUGUGUAGGCGGGAGUUUAAGUGUAAUGCGAAAUCUGGUGGCUCAACCAUCUAGACUGUAUUGCAUACUGGACACCUGGAGGUCGGCAGAGGCAAGUGGAAUUGGUAGUGUAGCAGUGAAAUGCGUAGAUAUUACCAGGAACACCAAUGGCGAAGGCAGCUUGCUGGGCCGAAUCUGACGCUGAGACACGAAAGCGUGGGGAGCGAACAGGAUUAGAUACCCUGGUAGUCCACGCCGUAAACGAUGCAUGCUAUUAGUUUGAGGUAUCGACCCCUUGGGCUGAGAGGCUAACGCGAUAAGCAUGCCGCCUGGGGAGUACGAGCGCAAGCUUA
RNAcentral lists this ribosomal RNA (373 nucleotides) under uncultured organism. RNAcentral's name for it is "bacterial SSU rRNA". It matches the Rfam family "Bacterial small subunit ribosomal RNA", at positions 526 to 896 of the family's 1533-position model. The record is from RNAcentral.